This is a regulatory RNA element of 139 nucleotides. It matches the Rfam family "Bacteroidete tryptophan peptide leader RNA". The record is from Rfam.
AAAACAAGAAAAAUAACAUUAUGAAUCUUUCUACGGUAAAUACAUUCUUCUGGUGGCGCCGCUUACAACUCCAAAGGUCGUAAGGGAACUCAGUCGCAUGUAUAUACCUCAAUAGUAAUAAUAUCACAGAAGGGCUGUC